UUUUCCACCACGAAACUGCAGCUGCCGUACAUAAAGAAGGACCAGAGCGACGUGUGGCCGCUGGUUGUCCCGUCCCCCUGCCCCAGUACGUUGAAGAAGAAGGUGAAGAAGAUCUCAUCCAGAAAGCCGUGCAUUCCGAAGAAAAGAAAGCGGGGUCUGACAUUGGAAUAAUGCAGAACACUUGAUUCAGGUCAUAGAAGAAGCAACACUUUGGGCACAGCACAACACAACCAAGUGAGCACUGGAAACCUGUUCUGGAUGUUGGGAAGCAGAAGAACAAGGUGCCAGCAGAUCCAGUGUCUGUGAGAGCUGCUGUCAGCUUCCAGAUGGUGCCUUAUUGCUACAUCCUUUAAGGUGUUGAACCCUGUGUCUUCACAUGGCCAAAAGAAGAGAAGGGUCAUAGGAAAUGAAACAGACUGCUGUUUUCAUGAGUGACCUGUUCUCGAGCCUAAGAAUCUCUUGGGCCACCCAGCCCCACAGAGGCCAGUAGGAGGUCAACUCUCCACCUCCCUAAAAAAAAAAAAAACGAGUGUGCGAGAAGUAUGUUGUAAUUGAAGUAGCAUACUGCCUGACACCCAAGAGGUUGCUCUAAUUGCCUUUCACCUCCUGCCAUGAUUCUGAGGCCCCCAGCCAUGUGGAACUGGAGAAGGGAGAUGAAAUAAUACCAGCAUCCUGAACCUGAAUGUCCAGCUUCGCCUUGUUCUUUGUGGAUUAUAAGACCAUUGAUUAAAUAAAUCCUUUCAUCAAAAUUAUCUUAAAAAAGAAACUACCAUCUAAAUCCAGUUAUUCCAUCUGACUUGGUAGCAGUGAUGUUUGGAGUUUAGGACCUAAAGGUGAAAUGGGGAAAAUCUGGGUGCUCGGAAAGACACCAGAAGCACACAGAAGAAGAUCAUAUGAAGACACAACAAGAAGGUGACUAGCUGCAAGCCAAGAAGAGAAGCCUCAGAAGAAAUCAAACGUACUAGCACCUUGAUCUUGGAAUUCCAGUCUCCAAAGCUGCGAGAAAAUAAAAUUCUGUUGCUUAAGCUGCCAA
Long non-coding RNA from Homo sapiens (human), 1033 nucleotides. NCBI's taxonomy places the organism in Eukaryota, Metazoa, Chordata, Mammalia, Primates, Hominidae. The record is from Ensembl.